Molecule: long non-coding RNA, 634 nt
Organism: Leptopilina boulardi
Lineage: Eukaryota; Metazoa; Arthropoda; Insecta; Hymenoptera; Figitidae
Exons: 3
Source: RefSeq, a predicted model, not a curated record
GUUGUACAUUUUUCUGAACCUGAAAAAAAUUAAAAUACUGUAUUAUUAACUAUUUAUCAUUUCUAAGUAGAAUACUAAUUUUCAAACGGACAAUUUUAUUAUACUUCAUCAGAUAAGAUGUCGAGCAUUUUCGAAAGGCACGUGGGCGAGAAUAUUUAAAUCACAAAUAUUUUUUAGUUCAACUUUUAGGUUUCACGCGAAAGACAGCUUGCGUGUCGUCGAAAAACUGGUACAAAAGGGUCGGCAUAGUGGUAUAUAUUUAUGUUUGCGGUUGAUGAUCUAUGACUGUGAUCGCUAGUUCGUGGAGGAGAAAAAGCGUGAAAGCACAUUUUAAGAACAAUUUCGCUGUACGAUUCGAUACGAAUCUUGUUUCUAGACCUGCCCCAGGGCAUGGGAAUCGAUAUUGUUAUUUCCUCACGAAAGCUUCAAUACACUACUUCUUCAAGAUUUUAUAUUGUAGCCCUUGCUAUAUAUGGUUUCAGGUCAAAACUAUAUUAAUUUUCACUUCUAAAUUUAACUUUAUAGUUUUUAAAAUGUAAAAUAAAUAUUUCUACAGAAAAUAAAUCGUAUGAGCAAAUAAAAAAUCCCUCCUUUAAUUUUCGUAGUACUAAUACCACUUUUAAUAUAUUUUAAA